Molecule: long non-coding RNA, 539 nt
Organism: Cataglyphis hispanica
Lineage: Eukaryota; Metazoa; Arthropoda; Insecta; Hymenoptera; Formicidae
Exons: 3
Source: RefSeq, a predicted model, not a curated record
CGCUCCGUGUAUCAUUCCAAUACUUUUUGAAACGCAAUCGCGACGAAUACUGGAAGAGAAUGCGAUCACUUCUAAUAAAUAUUCAUCAAUAAUUAACAUCUACGAUUAACAACUCGUAUCUACUCACAAUGCCGACAAAUAUUCACCGAUAAAAGCAGAGUCAAGAUUGCCACGGCGAGUGAUGCAUGUUUUUGGAUGAGCUUGUACCAAAGGAGAACAGCAAAGGAUGAACACGAGAGGAAGAAGAGAAUCGGAAAAAAGCCGGACAACUAACUGAGGGCGUGCUGCAAACACUUUGUUGCGCCGUUAAUUCGGGAACACGUCGUGAGAAGUAUCGUACGUUCAUUUGAUCAUGCCGCGGAUAUUUUAUCACGUUUUAAUUAGUGCGGGAGUGCCGUACAAAGUGUCGCGCGUUUAUUAUCCUGCAUAAUGAACAUUAACAAACUAAUGAAUAGAACGAGUGCAACGAAUUCUGACAAUCUGAAAGAAGGAGAAAGAGGAGGAGGAGCAGGAGGGGAGGCCAAGGACACAACCCGCAU